AACACCUCAAAGCUUUUGGAUUUUUUAAUCGAAAAGCUUUGGACUUGAGCAAUCCCAACACCAAUCUUUUUGAGAUCGGUGGCGGGUUGCUUGAAAUGCAACGAUUCUUGUUAA
Molecule: unclassified non-coding RNA, 114 nt
Filed under: uncultured Mortierella
Lineage: Eukaryota; Fungi; Mortierellomycota; Mortierellomycetes; Mortierellales; Mortierellaceae
Description: sequence contains ITS2
Source: RNAcentral